This 1294-nucleotide ribosomal RNA is filed under the name metagenome. RNAcentral describes it as "SSU rRNA". It matches the Rfam family "Eukaryotic small subunit ribosomal RNA", at positions 638 to 1823 of the family's 1831-position model. The record is from RNAcentral.
AUUCAGGUCAACUUGGCUUUUACUCACUGUUGUCAUUGUCUUUGCCCAAGGUAUAUGCCUUGUGUGCAUGGCAUUGACCUUCUAUUUUAUGGUAAUGUUGUAUCUUUCGGGGUACAUUCAUUCCAUAUAGUCUACUUUGAAAAAAUUAGGGUGUUUAAAGCAGGCGAAAAGGCUUCGGAAUAUAUUAGCAUGGGAUAAUAGAAUACGAUCUAGGUCGUAAUUUGUUGGUUUCUACGGCUUAGGUAAUGAUUGACAGGGAUAGUUGGGGUCGCUCGUAUUGAGUUGUCAGAGGUGAAAUUCUAGGAUUAACUCAAGACGAACUAAUGCGAAAGCAUUCGGCAAGGAUGUUUUCAUUAAUCAAGAACGAAAGUUGGGGGAUCGAAGAUGAUCAGAUACCGUCGUAGUCUCAACUGUAAACUAUGUCGACCGAGGAUCCGGUAGCGUUACAUGGAUGACCUUCCGGGCACUCUGUGAGAAAUCAUAAGUAUUUGGAUUUCGGGGGGAGUAUGGUCGCAAGGCUGAAACUUAAAGGGAUUGACGGAAGGGCACCACCAGGAGUGGAAUCUGCGGCUUAAUUUGACCCAACACGGGAAAACUUACCAGGUCCGGACACAGUGAGGUUUGACAGAUUGAGAGCUCUUUCUUGAUUUUGUGGGUGGUGGUGCAUGGCCGUUUUUAGUUGGUGGAGUGAUUUGUCUGGUUAAUUCCGUUAACGAACGAGACCUUAACCUAUUAAAUAGCUGCGCGAACCCAGGUUCUUUAACCAUUCUCUCCUUCGGGGGGGCGUGGUAUCAUUAUUUUGCUUUUCACUUUCGGGUGGGAGGUAGGGUAGUGUUAGGGCCUGAGAUGAGUUGGUGAUUUGGCUUCUUAGAGGGACUACUUGCAUCCUUAGCAAGGGGAGGUUUGAGGCAAAAACAGGUCUGUGAUGCCCUUCGAUGUUCUGGGCUGCACGCGCGUUACACUGGCGCAUGCAAAGAGUUUAAAAUUCCUGUCCCGAUGGGGUUGGGAAAUCUUUUUAAAGUGCGUCUGAUGGGGAUAGAGCAUUGAAAUUAUUGCUCUUGAACGAGGAAUUCCUAGUAAUUGCAGGUCAUCAACCUGCAAUGAUUACGUCCCUGCCCUUUGUACACACCGCCCGUCGCUCCUACCGAUGGUUGAACCGAUGAGGACUCGGGAUGAUCUUAUUAGAUCGGUCGGUCGAAAGAUCGAUAGACUAUUAGGUCAGAACUUGUUCAAAUCUUUUUAACUAGAGGAAGGAGAAGUCGUAACAAGGUUUCCGUAGGUGAACCUGCGGAAG